Molecule: long non-coding RNA, 623 nt
Organism: Mizuhopecten yessoensis (Yesso scallop)
Lineage: Eukaryota; Metazoa; Mollusca; Bivalvia; Pectinida; Pectinidae
Exons: 6
Source: RefSeq, a predicted model, not a curated record
CAUCCGUCAAGAAAUAUAAACAGAAGUAAAAUCUUGCGCAAUAGAUUUCGAAAAGCUAGCUCUUGUGUUGUCAAAUCGGAUAGGGAAAAGCUUUCGGGGUAAAAUGCAAAUAUGGAUAUCAAGGAACUAUUCUAUGCAUGUAGAGCAGGAGAUGUCACGAAAGUGCAAUAUUUGUUCGAGCAGAACGAAGUGGAAUUAAAUGUAAUUGACAAGUGGGACUGUUCUCCACUGUACUAUGCCUGUUUAUGUGGACAUGAAGAACUUGUCUAGUAUCUGUUGGAAAAUGGAGCUCGGUGUGAGGCUAACACCUUUGAUGGCGAGCGUUGUUUGUAUGGAGCUCUAACUGAUAAGAUUCGGAACCUUCUCAGGCAAUACAAUGUCAUCUCCUCUAAACAGCUGCGAAGAGACCUAUAUGAGGAGUUCCUCCGGAAACUGUUGGAGGAUGGUGUUUACAGUGAUGUGACAUUCUAUGUACAUGAUAAGAUGUUCCAAGUCCACCGCUGUAUACUGGCAGCUAGAUGUGAAUACUUCGCCACCAUGUUCAAAACUAGAUGGCUGGGUCGGCGUGUCAUCACACUUAAACAUGCUCUGGUUGUACCUGUUGCCUUCAAGUCAAUCCUACA